GGCUGAGUAUACUUUGUGAAAUCCCCGGAAUUGCCAGAUUUAUAGGGAUAAAAACUAGAAUGGGAUUUCCAAGAAUGAAGGUGGGAUGAAGGCCAGUGCUUAAUGGGGACAGACUUUGGAACAGGCACAAAGGUAAAGAGUCCUGAGAAUGGUUGCUCAGCAACACAAAUGUACCAAAUGCCAUCAAACCAGGCACUUUACAAGGGGUAAAAUGUUGAAUUUCGUGACAGGAUCAAUUUGAUGCUGUACAGAGUCUAUUUCUGGGAGCCAAUGACUUAGGAAUAUUGAAUUUUCCAAACUCAGUAACACGGCUUAACUGAUCCUCAGAAUAAACCACCGGACCACCAUCUAACUGAUGGAUCGGGCACCUCAGUCCUCAGCUGUAGCCUAUACAAGGUGUCCCUGCUGUGAGCUAGGAGCCCACAAAGAGUUCUGCCGGAGACGGGUGUUCAUCAGAAGGUGAAAUCACCUUUGCGUUUUGAUCCAUGGCUUCCAAAGAUAGAAGAGAUGAUUGGUUUUCCCCGAGAUUCAAAUGAUACCGGCAUCCCGAACGAUGCUCAGAGAAUGUCGCUUUAAACAACAAAAUGAAGGCGUCCAUUGAUGGAUCUCCCACCCUUGCUGCUCCUGGCAGCGUCGCGUCGCUUUGGCUUGUGAAGAGGGCCGUGCCAGGAUUUCCUGCUCCACACCUGCCUUUGGAGGGGGCUGCAUGUGAGGAUUCUGUCAGGCCACCGCAGGUGAGCUUGAUUUGGGGGUGAUAAGAACUGAUGGGCUCUCAUAGCUUGGGGUCCAGGAGUACUGGGGGGUGGGGGACACUUGGGAGUCAGUGUCGGCAAAAGUCGAUUGGCUCCUCCCUCUGAUGGAGAAGCUGAUCCUAAGCGGCUGCUCUUUCUCCAAGAACUUUCUAAUCAGAAUGGAUCUUGCUGUCGGGGGUAGCGGCAUCAGAAGUGAGCUACAGCCAGGGCGAUUUCCUGGACAUGCUGUCCCGGGGAGCUCGUGGCUCUCAGAUUGCUUUUUUGGGGGGAGGUCUAACAAGAAUCAAUAUUUAAGAUUAUGCAAUGUCCAUUGCAGCUUGCAGCAGCUGCCAACCUGAGGACGAGGGCUGGAUAAUUUACAAUGCAAGGAAUCCAUUCUUUUUGAGAGGGGGAAGGGAGAAAUCAAGAUUUAAGCUCCUUAUCCUGGGCUGAACUUUUCUCCUCCAUUCUUAAUGGCACUGGGCGUAAAUAAACCAUCCAUUUUGCUUUGUAGAACUGGCUGGUCUUUGCACAAACUCACUGGAAUCGACAGCCCAGGUUCAGAACCAAGACCACAGGUCUAGGCUGUAACCGAUUUGUAAACAAUACUAAUUUACAUUUUCCCACUGUCUGUUAGCCUUAUCAGGACCUGUCUUUCUAUUCUUCUGCCCCCAACAUCUGCAGAGAAAGUUUUUUUUUUUUUAUUGUCAGCUACUAAUGGUUCUUCUGUCCCAUAUUUUUAAUGUGAAGAUUAAAUAUUUAUAAAUGCCUUGUCAAUAGCAUCCCAUAACCAGGCCCUCUCGAAGCCACAAAGCAUGGACCUAAGCUCACUCCCACGAAGUCAGGGGUCACAGGUCAAGCGAGCAGUGAACAGCAGCCAUGAAGCACAUCUGCUGUCACUAAGUCUGGACAAUUAUUUAUGGGGCAGGGCUCUUCCUUAAAAGGCCCACAGCAUGGCAAGGGAAGUUUCCUUUGUCUCAGUCAAGCUCCUCUGGCCAAGUAGUUACUGGAAUCAGACUCCCAGCCGUGGGGCAGGCAACCAGCCUGGAUACCAUCUGCUUGGAGAAGAAUGCAGGAAGCACCUACAAGUGAAAGACUUAGGAGUGGGGAACAGGGAUGAUGAAAAGGAUGAGACACGAAGGUCCCGUGCCUCAGACAAGGAUUGGUUGGAAAUAGUAGAUUUUAAACAGGUGUGUGUGAAUCCCCUGGGCAUUUGGACAUAGGUGAGCCCGGGAACGAGGCUACAUAGAGCAUCCUGGGAAGGAGGGGGUGGCAGAGUUCAGCAGGAAGCAGCUCAUGAGCAAGGACAGGAAGAAAUGUCUCCAAAAGGUCAAUAGACCCAUGAAGCCAAUGCUUCCACCAGUCAAUAGUCACAUGACGAUGGGAGAUGGGAAUGGCCGCCCCAGAAGAGUUGGCGGGGACAUCCCUUCCAGCUGCAGGUAUACACAUCUGUUCUUCUGUAGAGCGGUUCCUGGUCCUUGGGGGUGAACAUCUGUGUGGCUAGAAGUUCUC
Molecule: small RNA, 2243 nt
Filed under: Rattus norvegicus (Norway rat)
Lineage: Eukaryota; Metazoa; Chordata; Mammalia; Rodentia; Muridae
Description: uncharacterized LOC102552565
Source: RNAcentral